UGCAUCUAGAUUAGAGUUUGAUCCUGGCUCAGGAUGAACGCUAGCGGCAGGCUUAAUACAUGCAAGUCGAGGGGCAGCGGGAGUAGCAAUACUUGCCGGCGACCGGCGCACGGGUGCGUAACACGUAUACAAUCUGCCUCUUACAGGGGGAUAGCCCGGAGAAAUCCGGAUUAAUACCCCAUAACAAUAGAAUUAGCAUUAAUUUUAUUUGAAAGCUCCGGCGGUAAGAGAUGAGUAUGCGACUGAUUAGCUAGUUGGAGAGGUAACGGCUCCCCAAGGCGACGAUCAGUAGGGGAUCUGAGAGGACUACCCCCCACACUGGUACUGAGACACGGACCAGACUCCUACGGGAGGCAGCAGUAAGGAAUAUUGGACAAUGCCCGCAAGGGUGAUCCAGCCAUGCCGCGUGCAGGAAGAAGGCCCUAUGGGUCGUAAACUGCUUUUGAACAGGAGGAAACCCUCCGACGUGUCGGAGGCUGAUAGUAUUGUUAGAAUAAGCAUCGGCUAACUUCGUGCCAGCAGCCGCGGUAAGACGAAGGAUGCAAGCGUUAUCCGGAUCCAUUGGGUUUAAAGGGUGCGUAGGCGGCCUUGUAAGUCAGUGGUGAAAUCUUCUCGCUUACGAGAAAACUGCCAUUGAUACUGCUAGGCUUGAGUACAGAUGCUGUGGGCGGAAUAUGACAUGUAGUGGUGAAAUACAUAGAGAUGUCAUAGAACACCGAUUGCGAAGGCAGCUCACAAAGCUGUAACUGACGCUGAGGCACGAAAGUGCGGGGAUCAAACAGGAUUAGAUACCCUGGUAGUCCGCACCGUAAACGAUGAUUACUCGCUGUUAGGAGGUAGCUCUUAGUGGCUUAGCGAAAGCGAUAAGUAAUCCACCUGGGGAGUACGCCGGCACGGUGAAACUCAAAGGAUUGACGGGGCCCGCA
This 926-nucleotide ribosomal RNA is filed under the name uncultured Tuber. RNAcentral's name for it is "bacterial SSU rRNA". It matches the Rfam family "Bacterial small subunit ribosomal RNA", at positions 1 to 925 of the family's 1533-position model. The record is from RNAcentral. Lineage: Eukaryota; Fungi; Ascomycota; Pezizomycetes; Pezizales; Tuberaceae.